GAUGAACGCUGGCGGCGUGCCUAAUACAUGCAAGUCGAGCGAACAGACGAGGAGCUUGCUCCUCUGACGUUAGCGGCGGACGGGUGAGUAACACGUGGAUAACCUACCUAUCAGACUGGGAUCACUUCGGGAAACCGGAGCUAAUACCGGAUAAUAUAUUGAACCGCAUGGUUCAAUAGUGAAAGACGGUUUUGCUGUCACUUCUAGAUGGAUCCGCGCCGCAUUAGCUAGUUGGUAAGGUAACGGCUUACCAAGGCAACGAUGCGUAGCCGACCUGAGAGGGUGAUCGGCCACACUGGAACUGAGACACGGUCCAGACUCCUACGGGAGGCAGCAGUAGGGAAUCUUCCGCAAUGGGCGAAAGCCUGACGGAGCAACGCCGCGUGAGUGAUGAAGGUCUUCGGAUCGUAAAACUCUGUUAUUAGGGAAGAACAAAUGUGUAAGUAACUAUGCACGUCUUGACGGUACCGAAUCAGAAAGCCACGGCUAACUACGUG
Molecule: ribosomal RNA, 497 nt
Filed under: uncultured bacterium
Lineage: Bacteria
Description: partial 16S ribosomal RNA
Rfam family: Bacterial small subunit ribosomal RNA
Source: RNAcentral